Molecule: ribosomal RNA, 1478 nt
Filed under: metagenome
Description: bacterial SSU rRNA
Rfam family: Bacterial small subunit ribosomal RNA
Source: RNAcentral
AGAGUUUGAUCCUGGCUCAGGAUGAACGCUAGCGGCAGGCUUAACACAUGCAAGUCGAGGGGUAACGAUGGUGCUUGCACCAGGCGACGACCGGCGCACGGGUGAGUAACGCGUAUGCAACCUACCUAUAACUGGGGGAUAGCCCGAAGAAAUUCGGAUUAAUACCCCAUAAUAUCACAAUUUCUCAUGAAAUUGUGAUUAAAACUCCGGUGGUUAUAGAUGGGCAUGCGUACCAUUAGUUUGUUGGUGAGGUAACGGCUCACCAAGACUACGAUGGUUAGGGGGUCUGAGAGGAUGAUCCCCCACACUGGUACUGAGACACGGACCAGACUCCUACGGGAGGCAGCAGUGAGGAAUAUUGGUCAAUGGGCGAAAGCCCGAACCAGCCAUGCCGCGUGCAGGAUGAAUGCCCUAUGGGUUGUAAACUGCUUUUCUGUAAGAAGAAACCCCUUUACGUGUAGAGGGUUGACGGUAUUACAGGAAUAAGCAUCGGCUAACUCCGUGCCAGCAGCCGCGGUAAUACGGAGGAUGCAAGCGUUAUCCGGAUUCAUUGGGUUUAAAGGGUGCGUAGGCGGAAUAAUAAGUCAGUGGUGAAAUCCUGCAGCUUAACUGUAGAACUGCCAUUGAUACUGUUAUUCUUGAGUAUGGUUGAGGUAGGCGGAAUGUGCAGUGUAGCGGUGAAAUGCGUAGAUAUUGCACAGAACACCAAUUGCGUAGGCAGCUUACUAAGCCAUCACUGACGCUGAGGCACGAAAGCGUGGGGAGCGAACAGGAUUAGAUACCCUGGUAGUCCACGCCGUAAACUAUGAUCACUCGUUGUUGGCGAUACACAGUCAGCGACUGAGCGAAAGCAUUAAGUGAUCCACCUGGGGAGUACGAUCGCAAGGUUGAAACUCAAAGGAAUUGACGGGGGCCCGCACAAGCGGUGGAACAUGUGGUUUAAUUCGAUGAUACGCGAGGAACCUUACCUGGGCUUAAAUGCAGGACGCUUUUUCCCGAAAGGGAUUUUUCUUCGGACGGCUUGCAAGGUGCUGCAUGGUUCGUCAGCUCGUGCCGUGAGGUGUCGGGUUAAGUCCCAUAACGAGCGCAACCCCUAUCGUUAGUUGCCAGCGAGUAAUGUCGGGGACUCUAACGAAACUGCCGGUGUAAACCGUGAGGAAGGUGGGGAUGACGUCAAAUCAGCACGGCCCUUAUGUCCAGGGCUACACACGUGUUACAAUGGUUGGUACAAAGAGCAGCUACUAUGUGAAUAGAUGCUAAUCUCAAAAACCAAUCUCAGUUCGGAUUGAAGUCUGCAACUCGACUUCAUGAAGUUGGAAUCGCUAGUAAUCGCGCAUCAGCCAUGGCGCGGUGAAUACGUUCCCGGGCCUUGUACACACCGCCCGUCAAGCCAUGGAAGCUUGGGGUACCUGAAGUCUGUAACCGCAAGGAGCGGCCUAAGGUAAAACAAGUAACUGGGGCUAAGUCGUAACAAGGUA